This 301-nucleotide ribosomal RNA is filed under the name uncultured bacterium. Its description in RNAcentral is "partial 16S ribosomal RNA". It matches the Rfam family "Bacterial small subunit ribosomal RNA", at positions 509 to 807 of the family's 1533-position model. The record is from RNAcentral.
CAGUCGCCGCGGUAAUACGAAGGGGGCUAGCGUUGUUCGGAUUUACUGGGCGUAAAGGGCGCGUAGGCGGACUGAUAAGUCAGGGGUGAAAUCCCAAGGCUCAACCUUGGAACUGCCUUUGAUACUGUUUGUCUUGAGUUCGAGAGAGGUAAGUGGAACUGCGAGUGUAGAGGUGAAAUUCGUAGAUAUUCGCAAGAACACCAGUGGCGAAGGCGGCUUACUGGCUCGAAACUGACGCUGAGGCGCGAAAGCGUGGGGAGUAAACAGGAUUAGAUACCCCCGUAGUCCCUGUCUCUUAUAC